UACCCCAAACAUGCAAUUUCACACUAAAAGGUUUUUACUGAAGAAAAUGGAUGAUGUUAUGGGCCUCAGAGAUCUUGGUGGUA
Molecule: small nucleolar RNA, 83 nt
Filed under: Oryza sativa Indica Group (long-grained rice)
Lineage: Eukaryota; Viridiplantae; Streptophyta; Magnoliopsida; Poales; Poaceae
Also listed under: 1 other name
Description: Small nucleolar RNA SNORD24
Source: RNAcentral